GUAGAUGAAAAUUUAUAAAAUAGCAUAUGAAAAGUAUCAUAACUGUCAUUUUCGUGCUCCGCCACCCAUCCAAGCAAAACAAAAUAAACAAGGAUGGAACAAAAUGCUUGCCAUUUUAACUAUAAAUCAACAGAAAUUAUAUUCAAAUCAAUGCAAUAACACUAUGCACACAAGAGAGGAUAAUCAAAACUAUCACUUUGAUUUAGUAGCUAUUCAAUAGAGGACACUAAACCAUGUGUGUUGAAAAUACCAAUAACCAAACCUCAUGAUCACAAGAUAAAAAGGCAAUGCAAGAAUAAUCAGACUAGGAUGUUGGACCUGCUAUCACAAAAACAAGUCUUUGACCAACAUAUUUACAACUAUUGACAGCCUAUAUGGUAUUCCAUACCUUUAGAGAGCAAAAUG
This 405-nucleotide unclassified non-coding RNA is filed under the name Hevea brasiliensis (rubber tree). Lineage: Eukaryota; Viridiplantae; Streptophyta; Magnoliopsida; Malpighiales; Euphorbiaceae. The record is from RNAcentral.